GACGAACGCUGGCGGCGUGCUUAACACAUGCAAGUCGAACGGAAAGGCCUCUUUCGGGGGGUACUCGAGUGGCGAACGGGUGAGUAACACGUGAGUAACCUGCCCUUGACUUUGGGAUAACUUCAGGAAACUGGGGCUAAUACCGGAUAGGAGCUCCUGCUGCGUGGUGGGGGUUGGAAAGUUUCGGCGGUUGGGGAUGGACUCGCGGCUUAUCAGCUUGUUGGUGGGGUAGUGGCUUACCAAGGCUUUGACGGGUAGCCGGCCUGGGAGGGUGACCGGCCACAUUGGGACUGAGAUACGGCCCAGACUCCUACGGGAGGCAGCAGGGGGGAAUAUUGCACAAUGGGUGGAAGCCUGAUGCAGCAACGCCGUGUGCGGGAUGACGGCCUUCGGGUUGUAAACCGCUUUCGCUCAUGACGAAGCUUUGUGUGACGGUAGUGGGUAAAGAAGCACCGGCUAACUACGUG
This 467-nucleotide ribosomal RNA is filed under the name uncultured bacterium. Its description in RNAcentral is "partial 16S ribosomal RNA". It matches the Rfam family "Bacterial small subunit ribosomal RNA", at positions 28 to 507 of the family's 1533-position model. The record is from RNAcentral.